UUUUGGACAAUGGGCGAAAGCCUGAUCCAGCAAUGCCGCGUGCAGGAAGAAGGCCUUCGGGUUGUAAACUGCUUUUGUCCCGAACGAAACGGCCUUUUCUAAUAAAGAGGGCUAAUGACGGUACCGUAAGAAUAAGCACCGGCUAACUACGUGCCAGCAGCCGCGGUAAUACGUAGGGUGCGAGCGUUAAUCGGAAUUACUGGGCGUAAAGCGUGCGCAGGCGGUUAUGUAAGACAGUUGUGAAAUCCCCGGGCUCAACCUGGGACUUGCAUCUGUGACUGCAUAGCUAGAGUACGGUAGAGGGGGAUGGAAUUCCGCGUGUAGCAGUGAAAUGCGUAGAUAUGCGGAGGAACACCGAGGCGAAGGCAAUCCACUGACCUGUACUGACGCUCAUGCACGAAA
This 402-nucleotide ribosomal RNA is filed under the name uncultured bacterium. Its description in RNAcentral is "bacterial SSU rRNA". It matches the Rfam family "Bacterial small subunit ribosomal RNA", at positions 362 to 758 of the family's 1533-position model. The record is from RNAcentral.